UACGGAGGGUGCAAGCGUUAAUCGGAAUUACUGGGCGUAAAGCGCACGCAGGUGGCUGAGAUAGUCGAUUGUGAAAGCCCUGGGCUUAACCUGGGAAUUGCAUUCGAUACUACUCGGCUAGAGUAUGAGAGAGGGCAGUGGAAUUCCCGGUGUAGCGGUGAAAUGCGUAGAUAUCGGGAGGAACAUCAGCGGCGAAGGCGGCGCUCUGGGCCGGUACUGACACUGAGGAGCGAAAGCGUGGGGAGCGAACAGG
RNAcentral lists this ribosomal RNA (253 nucleotides) under uncultured bacterium. Its description in RNAcentral is "partial 16S ribosomal RNA". It matches the Rfam family "Bacterial small subunit ribosomal RNA", at positions 524 to 776 of the family's 1533-position model. The record is from RNAcentral.